This is a long non-coding RNA of Cyprinus carpio carpio, 4333 nucleotides long. The record is from Ensembl. Lineage: Eukaryota; Metazoa; Chordata; Actinopteri; Cypriniformes; Cyprinidae.
AGCAGGAUCAGUGAUCCUGCAGUUCCACAGAUGCAGAAGAGGCCGCAGAUGCGUGAUGGCAGUGGAGAUUUGGCUGUCAGUGGAGACUGCAGCUGAAUUGAUGAGCGAGGCCGGUGAGGGAGCGGUGAAGAGCGCCUGCUGCUGCUGUCUGUGGUGUUGAAUGAACGACAGUAGGGUUUAAUGGGCAUCUCUCAUUUCUCUCAGCUGUCAUGAUACAAACAGCCACAAGCAAUAGCACCAGCUGUGUAACCUCACAACCAACAGUCAUACAUGAAUAAAAGAACAUUCACUACAUUAUAUAUAAAAAAAGAAUAAACCUCAAGGAAACAAUUCAUUUAAAGGGAUACUCCAUCGCAAAAUGAAAAUUGUGUCAUUAUUCACUUACCCCCAUGUUGUUCCAAACCUGUUUGUUCGUCUUCGGAACACAAUUUAAGAUAUUUUGGAUGAAAACCAGUAGGCUUGAGACUGUCCCAUAGACUGCCAAAUAAAUAACAGUGUCAAGGUCCAGGAAAGUAUGAAAAGCAUCGUCAGAAUAGUCCAUGGUUAUGUGUAUUUAUGCUUUGGUUCGAAUGAAAGCAGCGCAUCGGCGCAGCGCUGCUGACACAGCAAAGCGUCUGCCGUCUGCAUACUGCUCAGAAUUUCCAAAAUGGUGCUACACUGAUUUGGUGAUUAAUGACAAAAUUUUCCUUUAAGAUUUAGAGGCAUAAAGUACAAUAAUAAUAAUAAUAAUAGUAAUAAUAAUAAUAAUAAUAAUAGGAAAUGUUUAAACAUUUUAACUAAGAUUUAAAUGUUAACAUACUUUAAUAUAUAUUAAUAUAUAUAGAAUUUAUCCCUGUGACAGUAACACUGAAUUUCAAACAGCCAUUAUUCCAGUCUUCAUGAACAGUCUGCAGACACAUUAUUUAUGUAUUUAUUAUUAUUAUUAUUAUUAUUAUUAUUAUUAUUAUUAUUAUCUUUUUAUCUAUUUUUUUAAUGGUAGUACACAAAUUACAAAUGUUCCUCAGACAUCACGUUGCAUCAAUCACACAAAACAAAAAUGUUAAAUGUUAAGAGAUUAAAUGUUAACGCUAAAAACAAAAGCUUAAACAUAUACAACAGUGAUUUGAACACAGAUCCCAAUUUAAAAUCUGUGCACUACUUGAAACAUGACUUGUAUCAACAUUUAACUAUUCUGAACAACCUGGAGUUUUGCUAAUGAUAUAAAAGCGACGUGACAUACAGUACAGCCAAGUAUGGUGACCCACACUCAGAAUUUGUGCUCUGCAUUUAACCCAUCCAAAGUGCACACACACAGCAGUAAACGCGCACACACACACACACACACACACACACACAGGGAGCAGUGGGCACCCAUUUAUGCUGCUGCGCCCGGGGAGCAGUUGGGGGUUCGUUGCCAUGCUCAAGGGCACCUCAGUCGUGGUAUUGCCGGCCCGAGACUCGAACCCACAACCUUAGGAUUAGGAGUCAAACUCUCUAACCACUAGGCCAUGACUUCCCCUAUGACAAAUACAAAUAUGGCUCACAUCUGAAAGGGUAUGAAGCCAUUAUAGUCACAUAAUAUUAUCAAAAAGCUGUUAAAAAAGUACAAAAUAAAGAAAUCAUGCAUUUUUGUCACAACAAUGUCUCAUUAAUUUGAAUUUCAGUGUUUUGAGAUUAGAACAACUUGAACAUACAGUGUGCGACUCUGUAAAAUGAGAGAACUGUUUACGGGCCUGAAUAUUUAUGCAGAAAUUUUCUAGGACACCAGUACAUACCGUGCAUUCUCUUGACUUUAAUUGGAGUCCUUGAGAAGACAAAGGAAAGAAAGAGGAAAAAAAACAUCUAGCGUGAACAGUUGGUUGUGUAACAGCGGAGCCGAUGAUGCGCGGGCCUAUAAAUACAGACUGGCAGCAGGAGCGCAUUGUGGGCCAGUGUUUCCCCUCAGCCCACUCGGCUUUGUUUAUUCCCAACCGCCUGGCUUGUUAUGCCUCUGCACAGCUUUGACAUUGGCAGAGAAAUCAGGAAACACAAUGCACAGCACCAACUCCCUCACGGACUUUGACCGAUGCCUCCCUUGCUGUAUGUGUGACUCCCUCGUACAAGAAAACAAAUGAUCAAUUUGCCAUACAUCAGCCAUUUUAUUGGCAGGUACAGUUGCAAUGCUUUCCAGUACGGUAACCACAGAAUAAUAAAUGUUUCCUCUGUGUGAGAUGAUGCAAUGAUUAAUGUAGCUGCCCUGUCCUGUAUAUAAUUUCACCUGGUAGCCUAGAGCUAAUGUCACCGGCAACACCUCCGCUGUCAUUUGUUCUUAAUAAGAAUCCAGCUCAGCUCAGUUGUCAACCAAUCCAAUUCACUCUCGGCUUAAUAGUUAAGGUAUCGCCUGGAGAAGUUGAAGGGGAAGACGCAAAAGAUAAACACAUAUAAUGUAUAAAUGUAUAUAAUAAGGAGAAAGAGACAGGAAGAGUUGGGUCUCAUCUAAAUUGUUAGAUAAUGCAUUUGAAUGAGUUGCAUGUAUCUAGCCUUUCCGGAGAAUUCCGCCAUGCAUUUUCUAAGCUUCUAAUGAAACAAUAUAUCACCUUCUCUACCCACGUUCCUCAGCCUGGGUGCGGGCUUGCUAACACUUCGGCUUUCAUCUUCUAGAUGUGGGUGAUAUUAUUCAUAAAGUGUAAAAAUCAACUCUUCAGCUAUUUACUGCAAGCCCAAAAAACGGAGAGCAGAAAACGGAAGCCCAGGGGAGAAAGUCACUAAGACCAACCAUAUCAGCACUGUGUCAGAAAAUACAAUUGGUUUCGAACAAGCUAGUUUACUCAAAAAUACAAAUUCUGUCAGCUGUCACUCACCCUGGUGUUGUUUUAAAAUGGUUUUGAGUUCUGUGAAGAAAAAAAAAAAGGAGAUAUUUAGCAGAAUGUCCAAGCUGCUGUUUUCCGUACAUUUAAAGUAAAUUGAGACUAUGGCAGUCUAUGACCCCAGGAAUUGGAAGGAAUGUAACAAUUCAAGUUCCUUAACAGUUCUAUUUAAUGAUUCUUUUCAGCUUCAGGAUAUAAAAAGGGAGGAAAACAAUAUGUAACAGGGAGAUGAAUGGGUUCAAGACUACACUUCCCAUAAGUCCGUGGGGUAAAUUAAUUACAUCUGCACCUGCUAUAAAUAGAUUCACAGUAGUAUAGUUUUCUCUCAUCUCAUUCAUCGUUAUUUCAAACAAGAGUGUGCAAAGAUCAGAAUCCUGCUUGUAUUACUGGUGAUUGGCCUGGCAACACAGUCUUCAGAAUUAAUGAAUGAUGUGUGAGUGAAUAAUGUUCAAAAGGUCUCUUAAAGGAGAACCAUCCGGUUGGUUUUUAAAUUCCUCUUUCUUAGAUCCAGUUGUUUUAAAAGGACUAGCACGACUAUUGUCCAGUGCUCUUUUUGUAUACAUAUGUCUGAAGAUUUGCAGCAAGAAUUAAUGGACCUGUGUGAACAGCUGCCUAGUUUGCAAGCAUUGAAUGAUCAGCUGAGAAGUCGAGCAUCACCAUCCAGUGGACAUGUUUCAAAUCCUUCUGCCUCCACUAAUUUCAAUACUCCUCCAAUGUCUCUUAACAGGGUGCUGUAUGUUCUUAGAGGGAGAAAGUGCCCACGUUUCUAUGGACAUUCUGAUUCAUCAACUAAUAACUGGCCACAAACUGUAGUGAAACCUUUAUCACUUGUACAAGCAGUUUUAUUACAAUUCACAGAUACCAGCGUUCACAUAAAAUAAAUAUCCAAAACCACAUCCAAAGACCAACCUCAUUCAAGGAAAAAGAAUAACACCUUUGACACGCCACAGGGCACAACUAUCAGUGAGAAAAUAUACAACCACCAAUUGAAAUUCAAACCCCAAUGCAGCACAGCACUCGAAAGGAAAUACGGAUCACUAGAAACCACAGAAGAAUCCCCACCACCUCACCAGUGCCAGUCACACCCAUGGAGGAUACCCUGCAGCCACCAAUAAGUCAGAAAGGAGGCCAAUUUAAAAAAAAAGAUUAUUGUAAGUACCUUGAAUUGAGCAUUAAAUUCUUUAUUCCAAUCAAAUACCUUUUAAAAUAACUGGAUCUAAGAAAGAGGAAUUAAAAACCAACCGGAUGGUUCUCCUUCAAGAGACCUAUAAAACAAACCUUUAUGAAACACACCAUCUUCAUAAAUGUUCAUAAAUGUUCAUGUUCAUGCACACUCUUGUUUGUAACAUUGAUAGAUGAAUGAGAUGAGAGAAGCUAUACUACUGUGAAUCUAUUUAUAGCAGGUGCAGAUGUAAUUAAGCUACCCCACCGACUUAUGGGAAGUGUAGUCCCGAACUCAUUCAUCACCCUGUUGCCAUCACAAAUCUAGUUCUGUCAUUUUAAUAGCA